GAUGAAGAACGUAGCGAAAUGCGAUAAGUAAUGUGAAUUGCAGAAUUCAGUGAAUCAUCGAAUCUUUGAACGCACAUUGCGCCCGCCAGUAUUCUGGCGGGCAUGCCUGUCUGAGCGUCAUUUCAACCCUCAUGCCCCUAGGGCGUGGUGUUGGGGAUCGGCCAGCGCCCGCGAGGGACGGCCGGCCCCUAAAUCUAGUGGCGGACCCGUCGUGGCCUCCCCUGCGAAGUAGUGAUAUUCCGCAUAGGAGAGCGACGAGCCCCUGCCGUUAAACCCCCAACUUUCUAAGGUUGACCUCAUAUCAGGUAGGAAUACCCGCUGAACUUAAGCAUAUCAAUAAGCGGAGGA
This 348-nucleotide unclassified non-coding RNA is filed under the name soil metagenome. RNAcentral describes it as "partial contains 5.8S ribosomal RNA, internal transcribed spacer 2, and large subunit ribosomal RNA". The stretch from base 1 to 120 matches the Rfam family "5.8S ribosomal RNA", at positions 35 to 154 of the family's 154-position model. The record is from RNAcentral.